AGCCAAGCGCUCCAAGUAAGAAGUGAGCAAGAAAGUACUUAACCUGGUCAAGAAAAUAGCAGAGCUGGAGUGGAAUGUGUGAGGCUGUCGGUCAUCCUAUGUGGGAACGAGGCAUGCAACAUGGAGCUCGAGCUCAUUCAACACAAGGUCUUGGCACCAGGAAGAUUUCAGCAGCCAUAAGCAAUGGCACUUGGGUCUAAAUUUGAUCAGAGGGUAUAUGGACCUGGGUCCUCAUCAUCCAAGUAAAUAAAUGUUCUGUUUUUAUUUCUAUCCUACA
RNAcentral lists this long non-coding RNA (277 nucleotides) under Ixodes scapularis (black-legged tick). Its description in RNAcentral is "uncharacterized LOC115330026". The record is from RNAcentral. Lineage: Eukaryota; Metazoa; Arthropoda; Arachnida; Ixodida; Ixodidae.